This 625-nucleotide long non-coding RNA is filed under the name Toxoplasma gondii VEG. Lineage: Eukaryota; Apicomplexa; Conoidasida; Eucoccidiorida; Sarcocystidae. The record is from RNAcentral.
CUUCACUAAAAUCAAAGAGAACGGAACACAAGGGUGCGGCCGUGGAUACGACAUGACACAAGGCGUCCUGCACUGUUGCGCAUUUCCCUUUUGUAUACUGGCUCUUGGAACCUUCUCGGCAACUCGAAACGGUUUUUUACGCGCUUGGUCGGUCACCACCUUUACAGCUCUUAAAAGGCUAGAAGUCACCUCGCCUCUCCCACAAUCCUGGUUGGCAGUCGUGCGAUUUUCGGGAAGAGAUCUCUUUUGUUGUCUCUGGAAAUCGACAUACCGUCGCGUAGGCAAAGAACCCCUAGUCUCUUGAACGGGAAGAUGCCCAUGCAUGCAAACCUUGGGAUCGCUGCGGUACUCAGAGUCUUUCUCUCUGUCCGUCCAUCUCAUCGACCUUAUCUGUCUCCCUUAUACAUACCUGUUUACCCGAUCUGUCCAUCUCUCCUGUGACGUAUUUAUCUAUGAAUCUAUCUAUCCCUGUAAAUAUACAUAUUUUACUCAUAUCUGUAUAUGUGCGUGAAAAUCUAUUAGACGGCAUGCAUGUCUGCCUCAGCAAAUAGUGGCGUACCGCUGAAACUCAUAUCGUUUCAUUCCAGGAUGUCUGAGAAGUCGUUUUUGUGCAUGCGUUUCACAG